UCAAGAAGAAUUUCAAAUACA
RNAcentral lists this non-coding RNA (21 nucleotides) under Caenorhabditis elegans. The record is from RNAcentral. Lineage: Eukaryota; Metazoa; Nematoda; Chromadorea; Rhabditida; Rhabditidae.